GGGGAAUUGUUCGCAAUGGGCGCAAGCCUGACGACGCAACGCCGCGUGGAGGAUGACGAUCUUCGGGUCGUAAACUCCUGUCGAGCGGGACGAAUGCUUUGCGGCUGAAUAAUCCGCAGAGGUGACGGUACCGAUAAAGGAAGCCCCGGCUAACUCCGUGCCAGCAGCCGCGGUAAUACGGGGGGGGCAAGCGUUGUUCGGAAUUACUGGGCGUAAAGGGCUCGUAGGUGGCCAAUUAAGUCAGACGUGAAAUCCCCAGGCUCAACUUGGGAACUGCGUCUGAUACUGGUUGGCUUGAAUUCGGGAGAGGGAUGCAGAAUUCCAGGUGUAGCGGUGAAAUGCGUAGAUAUCUGGAGGAAUACCGGUGGCGAAGGCGGCAUCCUGGACCGAGAUUGACGCUGAGGCGCGAAAGCCAGGGGAGCAAA
This 425-nucleotide ribosomal RNA is filed under the name uncultured bacterium. RNAcentral's name for it is "bacterial SSU rRNA". It matches the Rfam family "Bacterial small subunit ribosomal RNA", at positions 356 to 772 of the family's 1533-position model. The record is from RNAcentral.